This 253-nucleotide ribosomal RNA is filed under the name uncultured bacterium. RNAcentral describes it as "partial 16S ribosomal RNA". It matches the Rfam family "Bacterial small subunit ribosomal RNA", at positions 524 to 776 of the family's 1533-position model. The record is from RNAcentral.
UACGGAGGGUGCGAGCGUUGUCCGGAUUUAUUGGGUUUAAAGGGUGCGUAGGUGGCCUAUUAAGUCAGUGGUGAAAUACAGCCGCUUAACGGUUGAGGUGCCAUUGAUACUGAUGGGCUUGAAAUAAUUGGAGGCUGCCGGAACGGAUGGUGUAGCGGUGAAAUGCAUAGAUAUCAUCCAGAACACCGAUUGCGAAGGCAGGUGGCUACGAUUGGUUUGACACUGAGGCACGAAAGCAUGGGGAGCAAACAGG